Molecule: long non-coding RNA, 266 nt
Filed under: Hordeum vulgare
Lineage: Eukaryota; Viridiplantae; Streptophyta; Magnoliopsida; Poales; Poaceae
Description: long non-coding RNA (HVUL_LNC012871)
Source: RNAcentral
UUGGGUCAAAGUAAGAAAGCAAGCAAAAGAAGCUAUAUAUAGUAAAUAUGCAAGCAAAAGAAUCAACUUGACACAGAGUUGAUAAUACACCAAAAGACAAGGUAUCAAGUGAUAAUAAGAUACCAAAUAAAAAACUAUCACUUGAAGGAUAUCAAUUAAAAAAUACCUCAAGGAAUGAGAUAUCCAUUUACACAUGCCAAAUAAAAGGAAACAAGAUACCAACUGAAGGAAAGCAAACACGAGGUAUCUAGUUUCCAAAAGAGAGC